Molecule: microRNA precursor, 63 nt
Organism: Astatotilapia calliptera (eastern happy)
Lineage: Eukaryota; Metazoa; Chordata; Actinopteri; Cichliformes; Cichlidae
Source: Ensembl
GAGCCAGACCGCAGCCGGAGCAUCACCCAUGGAGCACGACGCUCCGGCUGCGGUCCGACUCGC